CAGCGUCCUCUUUCCCCACCUCCCUCCCUCCCUCGCUCCAUGAACUAUUGACGUAUGCAUUUCUGUAGAUGGGGGAAAAGUCUCAAGUCCAUGUCCAUUUCAACCCUAAUCAUCUCCCAACCCUCUGCUUUCACCUUGGCUGGUAGAACAUGUUUGAUACAAGAAACUUCAUGUUCUCUAUUCUCUGUUGCGCAGCCUUAAAGUCUGAUCCGAGGACUUCAAAUGAGAUAUUUGAAACAAACAUAUUCGUGUAUCAUCAAGCUAGCUCUUGAGGAGGAAUCGCGAGAACAGAGGCAGGCCUCUUGGACGUCCCUUUGAUAUCACGUUCGUGCUGCUGAGGAUCGCACCGGCAUUUAAGAAUGGCUUCCCCAUUGUUUGAAUUUCUGCGAUUUAGUCGACUGUAGCAUAUUGAAAGCUGCCGAUAGGGAUUUUUGGUGCUUUCCAUCUGGGCGAAUGCAUUCGCAAGGGGAAGCGUGUCUCCCCCGAUCAUUGAAGAGCAAUCGAGAUGGCUUGUUUUGGCUUUAUUCGUAUGCCACAUAAUGUUCAUUGCAUUGGAGCGUUUUUCUAUUUUUGCAACAGUCCAGUCGAAUUCUGGAAAUCUCACCUCUUCCAUCGCCUAUUCAGUAUUUCCAAGAUAGCCGUCGUUGGACGGCGGCUUGUUGUGACAUAGUCGUUAUGCGCUGUGGAUCUUAGAGCUUGACUUGGGGUUCUUUUUCUUUUCUCUCUCUUUUCUCCUCUUUCCUUUCCUUUCUUUUUCGAGGCCGCAUGUGUUUCCGAAGGGUUUAAAUAUAGAAGUUCAUGAUUAAAUAUAGCUAAGUUUGAGAUUUGUCGGGUCUGACCUCGGAGUUAUUAUUGAAUAGCUUGAACCAAAUAAUUUUCCCUCCCAGUGCAGAAGAGAACAGUCACAAUGGUCCUAUCCGACAAAAAUACCCGAAGCAUGCCAUUGUAAACGGCCAUCGCCAUAGCUGCUGAAACCCCACGGAUCUCCCCGCUGCAUUAAUGAGCCCCUUUGAUCCCCCGCCGCUUGCAGCCCACCUCCUCGCCUCCCCUCUCCUAUUCAUCCUCCGCCCGCUACACGCUCUCCUCCUCAACCUCCGCCCGGCCCCAUGCACCCGCACCCCCUCCCAACGCCCCAUCCGCGUCGUUUGCAUUUCUGACACUCACGACCAUCACUUGCCGAGCGUGCCGGAUGGAGACCUGCUGAUUCACGCGGGAGAUUUGACGAACAGCGGGACGCGGGCGGAUAUUCAGCUGGCGGUGGAUUGGCUGAAGACGCUACCGCAUGCUCAGAAGGUGGUUGUGGCUGGGAAUCAUGACGGGUGGUUAGAUACCGGUGUUCGGGGCUUUAUUUCCUCGUGCAAUGCGGAGGAUGGGACUGGUGAUGGCGACGCGCAGGCCAUCGAUUGGGGCUCUAUCCAUUACCUGCAGAACAACAGCUUGACCCUCACGUUUCCGUCUCCCGCUUCCGCGGAUAGUGGCAGAUCUAGCCACUCUACGACAAGUGCCAAUGCCCCAUCUCGGACGCUGACGAUUCACGGCGCCCCGCAAAUCCCACAGCUGGACCCUUCACCGGAUUCAGUGCACGCCUUCCAAUAUCCCCCCUCCCUUGAUCCCACUACCACUACUACUGCUGCUGCUGCCACAUCUGGGAUCAGCGACUUCCACGCUUACCCAUAUCCCACCCCCAUCCCCCACAACACCGACAUCUUAGUCACCCACACGCCUCCCGCCUACCAUCUCGACAAUUACCCCUACUCCGUCGGCUGUCCCUUUGUUCUCCGCGCAAUCUGGCGUGUCCGCCCGCUUCUACAUGUCUGCGGCCACGUGCAUGUGGGCCGCGGCGUGGACAGGGCUUACUACGACCGUGUGCAGGAGGCAUGGGAGGCGCUAUGUGCGGUGCGGUCGGAGCAGGGGCUAUUAUGGGAGCGUGGGAGCGGAAUUGGG
RNAcentral lists this small RNA (1944 nucleotides) under Histoplasma capsulatum var. duboisii H88. RNAcentral describes it as "Histoplasma capsulatum H88 hypothetical RNA". Lineage: Eukaryota; Fungi; Ascomycota; Eurotiomycetes; Onygenales; Ajellomycetaceae. The record is from RNAcentral.